This 641-nucleotide ribosomal RNA is filed under the name Escherichia coli. Its description in RNAcentral is "partial 23S ribosomal RNA". It matches the Rfam family "Bacterial large subunit ribosomal RNA", at positions 551 to 1191 of the family's 2925-position model. The record is from RNAcentral. Lineage: Bacteria; Pseudomonadati; Pseudomonadota; Gammaproteobacteria; Enterobacterales; Enterobacteriaceae.
UGAAACCGUGUACGUACAAGCAGUGGGAGCACAGAGCAAUCUGUGUGACUGCGUACCUUUUGUAUAAUGGGUCAGCGACUUAUAUUCUGUAGCAAGGUUAACCGAAUAGGGGAGCCGAAGGGAAACCGAGUCUUAACUGGGCGUUAAGUUGCAGGGUAUAGACCCGAAACCCGGUGAUCUAGCCAUGGGCAGGUUGAAGGUUGGGUAACACUAACUGGAGGACCGAACCGACUAAUGUUGAAAAAUUAGCGGAUGACUUGUGGCUGGGGGUGAAAGGCCAAUCAAACCGGGAGAUAGCUGGUUCUCCCCGAAAGCUAUUUAGGUAGCGCCUCGUGAAUUCAUCUCCGGGGGUAGAGCACUGUUUCGGCAAGGGGGUCAUCCCGACUUACCAACCCGAUGCAAACUGCGAAUACCGGAGAAUGUUAUCACGGGAGACACACGGCGGGUGCUAACGUCCGUCGUGAAGAGGGAAACAACCCAGACCGCCAGCUAAGGUCCCAAAGUCAUGGUUAAGUGGGAAACGAUGUGGGAAGGCCCAGACAGCCAGGAUGUUGGCUUAGAAGCAGCCAUCAUUUAAAGAAAGCGUAAUAGCUCACUGGUCGAGUCGGCCUGCGCGGAAGAUGUAACGGGGCUAAACCAUG